UACGGAGGGUGCAAGCGUUGUUCGGAAUCACUGGGCGUAAAGCGCGUGUAGGCGGCUAUCUAAGUCUGAUGUGAAAGCCCUGGGCUCAACUCAGGAAGUGCAUUGGAUACUGGAUAGCUGGAGUACCGGAGAGGAGGGUGGAAUUCCUGGUGUAGCGGUGAAAUGCGUAGAUAUCAGGAGGAACACCGGUGGCGAAGGCGUCCCUCUGGCCGGAUACUGACGCUGAGACGCGAAAGCGUGGGGAUCAAACAGG
RNAcentral lists this ribosomal RNA (253 nucleotides) under uncultured bacterium. RNAcentral's name for it is "partial 16S ribosomal RNA". It matches the Rfam family "Bacterial small subunit ribosomal RNA", at positions 524 to 776 of the family's 1533-position model. The record is from RNAcentral.